Molecule: ribosomal RNA, 895 nt
Filed under: Termitomyces sp.
Lineage: Eukaryota; Fungi; Basidiomycota; Agaricomycetes; Agaricales; Lyophyllaceae
Also listed under: 1 other name
Description: partial large subunit ribosomal RNA
Rfam family: Eukaryotic large subunit ribosomal RNA
Source: RNAcentral
GGAAAAGAAACUAUCAAGGAUUCCCCUAGUAACUGCGAGUGAAGCGGGAAAAGCUCAAAUUUAAAAUCUGGCUUAGCUUCGCCGCCCGAGUUGUAAUCUAGAGAAGCAUUAUCAGCGCUCGCGGCGUGUACAAGUGUCCUGGAAUGGACCAUCAUAGAGGGUGACAAUCCCGUCUUUGACACGGCUGCCUUUAGUGCUAUUGAUGUGCUCUCAACGAGUCGAGUUGUUUGGGAAUGCAGCUCUAAAUGGGUGGUAAGUUCCAUCUAAAGCUAAAUAUUGGCGAGAGACCGAUAGCGAACAAGUACCGUGAGGGAAAGAUGAAAAGAACUUUGGAAAGAGAGUUAAACAGUACGUGAAAUUGCUGAAAGGGAAACGCUUGAAGUCGGUCGCGUUGGCUGGGUAAAUUCGAGAAAUCAACCUUGCUUUCUUGAAAGCUUGGCUUAUUUCCCAGCUGACGGGCCAGCAUCAGUUUUGACCGGUGGAUAAAGGCCAAGGGAAUGUGGCACCUCUUGGGGUGUGUUAUAGCCCUCGGUCAUAUACAUCGGUUGGGACUGAGGAACUCAGCACUUGUUGCUUAGGAUGCUGGCAUAAAGGCUUUAAGCGACCCGUCUUGAAACACGGACCAAGGAGUCUAACAUGCCCGCGAGUGUUUGGGUGGAAAACCCGAGCGCGCAAUGAAAGUGAAAGUUGAGAUCCCUGUCAUGGGGAGCAUCAAUGCCUGGACCAGAGCUUUUGUGAUGGAUCCACGGUAGAGCGUGUAUGUUGGGACCCGAAAGAUGGUGAACUAUGCCUGAAUAGGGUGAAGCCAGAGGAAACUCUGGUGGAGGCUUGUAGCGAUUCUGACGUGCAAAUCGAUCGUCAAAUUUGGGUAUAGGGGCGAAAGACUAAUCGAAUC